UCAGGAUAAACUAAGAGGAGAAGAGGCGUACCUCAUUAUGUUUGAAACAAGAAGAGGUAUAAAAUAGAGGAAGAGGUAGAAUUUGAGAAUGAAUAGACUUGGAAAAGGUAGAGACAAAUUUAGGGGUUUAAACGUACUUGAGCAAAGUUCUUAAGGUUGUGGUGAAUUAUUACUGCUGCUUUAGCAAUUUUUUUAACCUCGGUUCUGAUCUUGACUCUUUAUAGGUCUUCCCAGAGUUUGCUGCUGCCCAUUCAAAUUUAGCAAGUGUACUGCAGCAGCAGGGAAAACUGCAGGAAGCUCUGAUGCAUUAUAAGGAGGCUAUUCGAAUCAGUCCUACCUUUGCUGAUGCCUACUCUAAUAUGGGAAACACUCUAAAGGAGAUGCAGGAUGUUCAGGGAGCCUUGCAGUGUUAUACGCGUGC
This 421-nucleotide small RNA is filed under the name Pan troglodytes (chimpanzee). Its description in RNAcentral is "retained intron". Lineage: Eukaryota; Metazoa; Chordata; Mammalia; Primates; Hominidae. The record is from RNAcentral.